RNAcentral lists this long non-coding RNA (928 nucleotides) under Marmota monax (woodchuck). Lineage: Eukaryota; Metazoa; Chordata; Mammalia; Rodentia; Sciuridae. The record is from RNAcentral.
GUUUGUCAGAGUAAUGAUAAUAACCUUGGAUCUUGCAAGUUGACUACAUUAUUGAAAUGAUAUGUUUUCUACUAAUUCCUUUUGUGUUUCAAUAGUAGAUUAUGAUGACCUCAAACCAAGAAUCCAGUGACUAAAAAUGUAAUACCCCAAUUGCCUAUAAAUAUUAAGAAAGAGGGAAUUUGUGGGUAGCCACUCCAAAUUUAGGCAUCUUUAGUCCUGAUGAACCAUGGGGGUCUGAAAGAUUGCUGUAGUCUCAUGCAGCAGUGCCAUGACUGGUUCUCCAUCUUUUCCCAUGGUUGGAUAAUAAGGUGUGGUCCUGGGAGUAGCCCUAGGAGUAGGUGCAACCCAGAAGAAUUGAGUGUGGGGAGCCACUCUGAAUGAUCUGCUCCUUCCAUCAUGGAGGGGAGAUGCUUUGACUGGCACUACAUAUUAUAGUGACCUGGAAAUUGUCCUGGUCCCGGAAGUUUGAGGGUAUGUCUUAAGACAUAGGCAUGUCACCCCAUGGCCCUUUGGGUUGAAUUACACUCACAUGUCCUUUGUAACCCUGCCACCUCUGAACUUUUUUUGAUGGAACUUUCUAAGAAUGAGGGUCCCCCAAUAAAAGCCCAUUCCUGAGUAUGCUCAUUCUCUCUCACCAGCCUCUCUUGACUUUCACUUGCUCUCCCAUUUGGGGAGCCUGAGGCAGACAGCAGGGAAACCAUCCUGAAGCUUGAUUAAAGGUAAAGUGUGUGUCUGUGUUUUCUUUGGUGUCCCUGGAAAUUCACAUGAAGGACCUUAGGUUCAGCUGCCCACAUGGGCACCAGUUGAGUUACACUCGCCUGUUCCCUUGUAAUCCUACACCUUGCCUAAUUUGAAUGGCUUCUUCCCAAUGAAAAGGUUCAGUAAGUGCUUCUCUCUCUCUUUCAACAGACCCCAAGGUUGCAGGAUC